RNAcentral lists this long non-coding RNA (269 nucleotides) under Mytilus galloprovincialis (Mediterranean mussel). Lineage: Eukaryota; Metazoa; Mollusca; Bivalvia; Mytilida; Mytilidae. The record is from RNAcentral.
UGUUAGCUGUUAUUGUCUUAUUCAUUGUUAGCUGUUAUUGGACUAUUAGGUUUUUUGUUUUCUGUUAUUGUGAUAAUAUAUUUGCUGUUAACUGUUAUUGAAAAUUGGAAUGUUAUCAAUUUUUUUUGACAGCCCAUAUUCGGUAGAAAUUGAAGAUUAUUGGACAUUGGGGUCUACCACUAGUAAUAUGGUGGUCCCGUAUUCGGUGAAGGAUUUCAUUAAUAUAUACCCAUCACAGAUCAACACAUAAACAUAUUAAUAUCAGUGAG